This 253-nucleotide ribosomal RNA is filed under the name uncultured bacterium. RNAcentral's name for it is "partial 16S ribosomal RNA". It matches the Rfam family "Bacterial small subunit ribosomal RNA", at positions 524 to 776 of the family's 1533-position model. The record is from RNAcentral.
UACGUAGGGCGCAAGCGUUGUCCGGAAUUAUUGGGCGUAAAGAGCUCGUAGGCGGUCUGUCGCGUCUGUUGUGAAAACUCGAGGCUCAACCUCGGGCUUGCAGUGGAUACGGGCAGACUAGAGUGCGGUAGGGGAGACUGGAAUUCCUGGUGUAGCGGUGGAAUGCGCAGAUAUCUGGAGGAACACCGGUGGCGAAGGCGGCAUCCUGGACCGAGAUUGACGCUGAUGCGCGAAAGCCAGGGGAGCAAACGGG